UGGAACUCACAAAGCACACACAAAGAAAAAAAAAAGUGUGGGCUCAAAAAUUUUGCAUAGAGAGAGAAAGUACGACAGAUAUAAAGUUGUGGAGAGAGAAAGGAAGAAAGAAAAGUUCGUUUUAGAGACGUUACCGGACUCCAAAGCAACAUUCCGCCGGAAUUUACUCACACCUAUUUCACGUCCGGUCUAGGUUUUUUCAAUUUCAAUUCAAAUAAUAAUAAUAUUAAUCCCUAGUUCCUCUUCUAAUUCUAGGGUUUCUCUCUCUCUCUCUCUGUUUCUCUCUCUCUCAGUCUUUUUGAUGGUCUUCAGUUUCAAACCCUCAAUUCUGUAGAAAUUCUAGGGUUUCUUUCACUGCUGGGGCCUUUAUAAAUUUGGGUUUUGUAGAUUUAGUGAGGUUAGAGGGGCAAUUCCGAUGUUUACGCCACAGAAGAAAGUGUGGUCGGGGUGGUCGUUGACGCCGAGAAGCGAAGCGGGUCAAAAGAAUGGAAGCGAGUCCGGGUCGGAUCCGAAGGGAAAGAGUGUGGGUUUUGUUGAACAAGUGACGCCUAAUGGAGUGCGACCCAAUUUGGACGGUGAAUAUUUGGCGGAUAAGGUUUCAAAGCUUGAGAAUGAGCUAUUUGAGUACCAGUACAAUAUGGGGCUUCUCUUGAUUGAGAAGAAGGAGUGGGGUUCUAAGCAUGAAGAACUCAUGCAAGCAUUUACAGAAGCAACGGAAGCUGUCAAACGGGAACAAGCUGCACAUUUGAUUGCACUUUCUGAUGCUGAAAAGCAGGAAGAGAAUUUGAGAAGAGCCUUGGGUGUUGAGAAACAAUGUGUGCUUGAUUUAGAGAAGGCAGUGCGCGAGAUGCGUUCAGAAAAUGCAGACAUUAAAUUUACAGCCGAUUCAAAACUGGCUGAAGCAAAUGCAUUAGUUAUGAGUAUUGAAGAGAAGUCUCUGGAGGUAGAGGCAAAAUUGCGUGCUGCUGAUGCCAAGCUUGCAGAAGUGAGCAGAAAGAGUUCUGAGAUUCAGAGGAAAUUGCUGGAUGUGGAAUCUCGAGAAAGUUCUCUUCGAAGGGAGCGCUUGUCCUUCAUUGCAGAGAAAGAGGUGUACGAGACCACUUUUUCUAAGCAAAGGGAGGACUUGCAAGAAUGGGAGAAGAAAUUACAAGAAGGAGAAGAGAGGCUAUCAAAGAGUCAAAGAAUUAUUAACCAAAGAGAAGAAAGGGCAAAUGAAAACGAUAGGAUCGUUAAGCAGAAAGAGAAGGAUCUUGAAGAGGCUCAGAAGAAGAUUGAGGAUGCAAACUCAAUUUUGAAGAGGAAAGAAGAUGAUAUUAGUAACCGGCUCACUAAUCUAACUAUAAAGGAAAAGGAAUUUGAUGCUACAAGAAAGAAAUUAGAGGUGAAAGAAGUAGAGUUAUGUGUGCUAGAAGAAAAGCUAAAUGAGAGAGAGAGAGUUGAGAUUAAGAAGCUAACUGAUGAACACAAUGCCAUUUUGGAUGUAAAGAAGCAUGAAUUUGAGUUGGAAGCUGAACAAAAGAAGAAGUCUUUGGAUGAGGAUCUCAAAAACAAGGUAAUUGAGCUAGAAAAAAGGGAAACUGAAAUCAAACAUAAGGAAGAGAAAGCUGCAAAACGAGAGCAGGCAUUGGAUAAGAAACUGGAGAAGUGUAAGGAGAAAGAGAAUGAAUUUGAAUCAAAGUCAAAAUCUCUGAAGGAGAGGGAGAAGGCCAUCAGAUCUGAACAGAAGAAUUUGGAGGGAGAGAAAAACCAACUGGAAUCUGCUAAAGAGAAUUUUCUAAAUCUUAAAGCUGAACUGGAAAAAACCAGGGCUUCAAAUGAAGAACAGCUUUUGAAAAUUAACGAAGAGAAGGAGCGUCUCAAAGUGAGCGAGGAAGAGAGGUCUGAGUAUGCCCGCUUGCAAGCUGAGCUCAAGGAGGAAAUAAAUAAAUGUAGGCUUCAGGAAGAGCUGCUUUUGAAGGAGGCUGAUGAUUUAAAGCAGCAAAAAGGGAAUUUUGAGAGAGAGUGGGAAGAUCUGGAUGAAAAAAGGGCUGAGGCUGAGAAAGAGUUGAAGAGCAUUUGUGAACAGAAGGAAAAAUUUGAAAAAUAUAGACUCUCUGAAGAAGAAAGAAUAAGAAAUGAAAGAAAGGAAACAGAAAACUACAUAAAAAGAGAUCUGGAAGCUCUGCAAGUGGCCAAGGAAUCAUUUGAGGCCAACAUGGAGCAUGAGCGGUCUGUGAUGGCUGAGAAAGCUCAAAAUGAGAGAAACCAGAUGCUACAUAGCAUCGAGAUGCAGAAGACUGAGCUUGAGAAUGAAUUACAAAAAAGGCAGGAGGAGAUGGACAGGCUUUUGCAAGAGAAGGAGAAACUGUUUGAGGAAGAGAGAGAGAGAGAAUUUAAGAAUAUUAAUUUCUUAAGAGAUGUAGCUAGAAGAGAAAUGGAAGAUAUGAAACUGGAAAGGCUUAGGAUAGAGAAAGAGAAGCAAGAAGUUGAUGAAAAAAAAAGGCAUCUUCAAGAGCAACAAAUUGAAAUGCGAGAAGAUAUUGAUAAGCUGGGCAAUCUUAGUAGAAAGUUGAAGGAUCACAGGGAGCAAUUUAUUAAAGAGAAAGAGCGUUUCAUUGUAUUUGUUGAGCAAAACAAGGGUUGCAAAAACUGUGGUGAAUUGACCUCUGAGUUUGUGCUUUCUGAUUUGAUAUCUUCACAAGAAAUUGAGAAAGCUGACGGCCUUCCUACAUCAAAGUUGGUUAAUAAUCAUGUGACCACUGAUGAUGGAAAUCCGGCUGCUUCUGAGAAGCACGAUAGCGAGGUAUCUCCCACUCUAGCUCAUUCUGUAUCUCCAGUUUCUUGGCUGCGCAAGUGCACAUCAAAGAUACUUAAGUUCUCUGCUGGUAAAAGGAUUGAGCCUGCUGCUUUACAAAAUUUGACUGAUGGCACACCCCUGUCUGGUGAGCAAGUUAAUGCAGAAGAAAUGUCAAAAAGAUUAGAUUUUACUGAAAAUGAACCAGAGCUAUCUUUUGCAAUUGUCAAUGAUUCACUUGAUGCCCAGAGGGUGCUCUCUGAUACAAGCAUCAGAGAGGUUGAAGCUGGACAUGAUUUAUCGAUUAAUGAUCAGAGCAACAAUAAUGGUACAGCACCAGAAAUUCAGGAAGAUUCCCAACCUUCUGGAUUAAAGCGUGAUCCCCAACCUCGUAAAAGGGGUAGGCCAAGAGGUAGCAGAACACGCUCUGUCAAGGAAGUUGUCCAAGAUGCCAAAGCUCUCCUGGGGGGUGCUUUGGAAUUAAAUGAGGCUGAAGAUUCUGGCCAUCUGAAAUCGGAAAGCCGUGAUGAAUCAAGUCUUGCUGAUAAAGGAGGUCCAAGAAAUGCCCGGAAGCGGAGUCGAACUCAGACAUCUCAAAUUUCAGUGACCGACCGUUACGGUGAUGACAGUGAAGGUCAUUCUGAUAGUGUCACUGCUGGUGAUCGCAGGAAGAGACGGCAAAGGGUUGUUCCCAAUCAAACUCAAGGCCAAACACAAUAUAAUCUUCGGCUACGCAAACUUGGAGUCACUGUUGUAACUGCUAAAGCCUCAUCAAACCUGAACAAUGCAAAGGAGAAAGAGGAUGAUGGUGUUAGUAGUCCACAGGAUGGAAAUCUAUUGAGAAGUGCUCCAGCAGCUUCUGCAGGGGCUGCCAGUGAGAAUGGUGAAAGCAUGCACUUUGCAAGGUGUGCAAAUAUUAUGGACACUCUGGACGGUGAUGGCAGUGCAAGAAGGAUGGAUGAGAAUGCUGCACUGAGUGAAGAGAUAAAUGGAACGCCAGAAGGGGUUGGGGAGUAUGGUAUUGCAGAUGAGAACAGAAGUGAAACCCCUAGAGGUGAAAAUGAAGAUGAGGAUGAAGAUGAUGACGAGGAAGAGUCUCUGCAUCCUGGUGAAGUCUCAAUAGGAAAGAAGCUCUGGACUUUCUUGACGACGUAAUGAUAGUAAAUCUUGUGCUCCAGUUGGGUGAGACUUAAAUGGGUUCUUGAUUGUUCCAAUUUUUUUUUAGGAUUGUUGUUAGGAGGUCUUUGAUGUGAAGUAGUGUGUAUUAAAAAGUUUAACUGUUAUGAUGAUUUCAAGGCUUAACCCAGGUGCAAGGGAUCUGGUUUUCUUCCCCCCUGGUUUUGGUUUGUUAGGAUUCAGGAUUUUUUGGAGCUGCUAUCUUUUAGAACAAGGAGUGACGUUUGAAGAAACUGCGGUCUCAGUCCUUGUUCUUUGUCAGCUAUUCUGCCUGUUAGGUGGUAUGAUGCCCACUUCGAGUACAAGGAAGAGUGAAGAGGCGAUGUUCUAUGAAAACAAGAACACCUUAUUGGAUAAUCAAUGAUUUAGUUUGAAUUUGUCAUUCAUUUUGAUGGCAUCAUGUAGAUGUACCUAGGAGUGAAAUUGAUUUGUGAAAUAGUUUGGUUGCUCAAUGAACACUGAUUUUUUGGCCAA
Molecule: RNA transcript, 4423 nt
Organism: Populus nigra (black poplar)
Lineage: Eukaryota; Viridiplantae; Streptophyta; Magnoliopsida; Malpighiales; Salicaceae
Gene name: protein CROWDED NUCLEI 1
Exons: 9
Source: RefSeq, a predicted model, not a curated record